RNAcentral lists this long non-coding RNA (2234 nucleotides) under Anas platyrhynchos platyrhynchos (common mallard). RNAcentral describes it as "lncRNA (ENSAPLG00000025636.1)". Lineage: Eukaryota; Metazoa; Chordata; Aves; Anseriformes; Anatidae. The record is from RNAcentral.
GGGAGGGGGCGCGGGCGCGCCCCCGCUGGGUGGGAGCCGCGGGACCCCCACGGGCACGCGGGGGGGUGGGGGGGGGGGGGGGCACACGCGGGCACGCGCGGGCACACGCGGGGGGGUGUGGGGGGUGCACGGACACGCGUCUGCAGCACUCGCAGGCGUGCAGCUGCUUGCACACGCAUGCACACGCGUGUGCUCACACGUGCACACACGCACAUGCAUGCACACACGUGUGUGCUCACACACGCGUGCACACGCGCACACACUUGCACCCGCUCCAACACCGGCCCUUGCACCAACACACGCGUGUAGAUGUGCACACACACACACACACACAAGUAGAUCCCACACAUCCGUGUGCACAAAUGUGUGUGCAGACACGUGCACGCUCGUGCACAUGAUUGCACGCACACAGCCCUGCCUGCACAUGCACAUGCUCACAUGCAGACACACGUGUGUGCAUGCAGGGGACGUGCACAUGGAUAUGCACACACAUGGACAUACACACACACAAGCAGACCCCACGCAUCCAUGUGUGCAAGCAUGAGUGCAAAUGUGCACACACACACAUGUGCACACGCUCAUGCACACAUUACACACACACCAUUUCCAUGUUCACACACACACAGCUAUGCACACCUACACGCAGACACACAUGUGUGCAUGCAGGGGAUGUGCACAUGGACACACACACACACGGACACACCUGCUCCAACAAAGGCACGUGCACACACACACACAAGCAGACCCCACACAUCCAUGUGUGCAAACACGCGUGCAAAUGUGCACAUGCACACACUUGCACACGCUCAUGCACAUCCUUGCACACGCACAGCCCUGCCCGUGCCUGCACACACUCACAUGCAGACACACAUGUGUGCAUGCAGGGGACGUGCACACGUGCACACACACGCACUUGCACCUGCUCCAACACUGGCACGUGCACACACACAGGCACACAAGCAGACCCCACACAUCCAUGUGUGCAAACACGCGUGCAAAUGUGCACACACACACACUUGCACAUGCUCAUGCACACAUCACACACACACAGCCCUGCCUGCACCUGCACACGCUCACACACAGACACAUGCACAUGCACACGGACACACCUGCUCCAACACUGGCACGUGCACACACACACACACACAUGCACACCCCACACAUCCGUGUGCACAAACACGAGCCCAGACGUGCACACACAUGCACUUGCACACGCUCAUGCAUAUGCUCACACACAUUACACACCACUGCCAUGCUCACACGCACACAGCCCUGCCCACACCUGCACACACUCACAUGCAGACACACACGUGUGCAUGCAGGGGACAUGCACACACGCACACACACACACUUGCACAUGUUCCAACAAUUGCACAUGCACACACACAUGCACACACACGCGCAGACCCCACGCAUCCAUAUGUGCAAACAUGCGUGCAAAUGUGCACAUGCACUUGCACACACUCAUGCACACACCACACACACACAGCCCUGCCUGCACCUGCACACUCUCACACACAGACACACACGUGUGCAUGCAGGGGAUGUGCACAUGGACACGCACACACAUGGACACACACGCACACACCUGCUGUAACACAGGCAUGUGCACACACACACACACACACAAAACAAGCAGACCCCACGCAUCCAUGUGUGCAAGCAUGCAUGCAAAUGUGCACACACCCACCCACCUGCACACGUUCAUGCACACGUUACACACCCACUGCCAUGCUCACACACACACAGCCCUGCCCACACCUGCACACACUCACAUGCAGACACACGCGUGUGCAUGCAGGGGACAUGCACACACGCACAUACACACACUUGCACAUGUUCCAACAAUUGCACAUGCACACACACAUGCACACACACGCGCAGACCCCACGCAUCCAUAUGUGCAAACAUGCGUGCAAAUGUGCACAUGCACUUGCACACACUCAUGCACACACCACACACACACAGCCCUGCCUGCACCUGCACACUCUCACACACAGACACACACAUGUGCAUGCAGAGGACAUGCACACGGACACGCACACACAUGGACACACACGCACACACCUGCUCUAACACAGGCAUGUGCACACACACACACACACACACACAAGCAGACCCCACACAUCCAUGUGUGCAAGCAUGCGUGCAAAUGUGCACACACACACGCACUUGCACACGCUCAUGCACACAUUACACACCCACUGCCAUGCUCACACACACACACCCCUGCC